Molecule: ribosomal RNA, 1538 nt
Filed under: Parabacteroides distasonis
Lineage: Bacteria; Pseudomonadati; Bacteroidota; Bacteroidia; Bacteroidales; Tannerellaceae
Description: 16S ribosomal RNA
Rfam family: Bacterial small subunit ribosomal RNA
Source: RNAcentral
CAAUUUAAACAACGAAGAGUUUGAUCCUGGCUCAGGAUGAACGCUAGCGACAGGCUUAACACAUGCAAGUCGAGGGGCAGCGGGGGUAGCAAUACCCGCCGGCGACCGGCGCACGGGUGAGUAACGCGUAUGCAACUUACCUAUCAGAGGGGGAUAACCCGGCGAAAGUCGGACUAAUACCGCAUGAAGCAGGGGCCCCGCAUGGGGAUAUUUGCUAAAGAUUCAUCGCUGAUAGAUAGGCAUGCGUUCCAUUAGGCAGUUGGCGGGGUAACGGCCCACCAAACCGACGAUGGAUAGGGGUUCUGAGAGGAAGGUCCCCCACAUUGGUACUGAGACACGGACCAAACUCCUACGGGAGGCAGCAGUGAGGAAUAUUGGUCAAUGGCCGAGAGGCUGAACCAGCCAAGUCGCGUGAGGGAUGAAGGUUCUAUGGAUCGUAAACCUCUUUUAUAAGGGAAUAAAGUGCGGGACGUGUCCCGUUUUGUAUGUACCUUAUGAAUAAGGAUCGGCUAACUCCGUGCCAGCAGCCGCGGUAAUACGGAGGAUUCGAGCGUUAUCCGGAUUUAUUGGGUUUAAAGGGUGCGUAGGCGGCCUUUUAAGUCAGCGGUGAAAGUCUGUGGCUCAACCAUAGAAUUGCCGUUGAAACUGGGGGGCUUGAGUAUGUUUGAGGCAGGCGGAAUGCGUGGUGUAGCGGUGAAAUGCAUAGAUAUCACGCAGAACCCCGAUUGCGAAGGCAGCCUGCCAAGCCAUUACUGACGCUGAUGCACGAAAGCGUGGGGAUCAAACAGGAUUAGAUACCCUGGUAGUCCACGCAGUAAACGAUGAUCACUAGCUGUUUGCGAUACACUGUAAGCGGCACAGCGAAAGCGUUAAGUGAUCCACCUGGGGAGUACGCCGGCAACGGUGAAACUCAAAGGAAUUGACGGGGGCCCGCACAAGCGGAGGAACAUGUGGUUUAAUUCGAUGAUACGCGAGGAACCUUACCCGGGUUUGAACGCAUUCGGACCGAGGUGGAAACACCUUUUCUAGCAAUAGCCGUUUGCGAGGUGCUGCAUGGUUGUCGUCAGCUCGUGCCGUGAGGUGUCGGCUUAAGUGCCAUAACGAGCGCAACCCUUGCCACUAGUUACUAACAGGUGAUGCUGAGGACUCUGGUGGGACUGCCAGCGUAAGCUGCGAGGAAGGCGGGGAUGACGUCAAAUCAGCACGGCCCUUACAUCCGGGGCGACACACGUGUUACAAUGGCGUGGACAAAGGGAGGCCACCUGGCGACAGGGAGCGAAUCCCCAAACCACGUCUCAGUUCGGAUCGGAGUCUGCAACCCGACUCCGUGAAGCUGGAUUCGCUAGUAAUCGCGCAUCAGCCAUGGCGCGGUGAAUACGUUCCCGGGCCUUGUACACACCGCCCGUCAAGCCAUGGGAGCCGGGGGUACCUGAAGUCCGUAACCGAAAGGAUCGGCCUAGGGUAAAACUGGUGACUGGGGCUAAGUCGUAACAAGGUAGCCGUACCGGAAGGUGCGGCUGGAACACCUCCUUUCUGGA